AUCUCAGAGAGCCCUAAAGUAAAGUGCAAUAACUAACUUCAUAGUCUGGAUCCUCCUCAGAAAACUGGGAAAACGAGGACGGUUCUCACUGGAGUCCCCCAAAGUCCCGGGUCGUGUGUUCGGAUAACUUCGUUUCUGGUAAAUAUAAGGAACAAAAAUCCACCUUCUUAACCACAACUUGGCUAUACGUCCGUGCUAAUGUUGUACUUGUUGAAUUUGUACCUUAUAACGUUCGACAGCUGAAGUUGUUGUUGUACAAAAAUAACAUGCGGUAUAUACUAUAUAGUCUAUAGCCUAGCUAGCUAUUUUCGAAAACCGGACAACGAGAGGAUACCAAAGGCAGCGUUAAGAUGGACACCACCGGGAAAACGUAAGCCAUGGCGGCCAAAGAACACCUGGCGAAGAACAGUUGAAGGGGAGCUGAAAGAGAUGAAGCUUACAUGGGGCGAGGCACAGAGACGAGCACAGCAGCGAGAUGAAUGGCGUCGAGUCGUCGAAGCCUUAUUUCCCAUCCGGGAAGAAGAGGAUUAAGUUAAUUUGACAAAUUCCUCAGUAUAUUCACCAAGAUGUCAUCGAGGAGCUAUUGAGUCUGUUUAGCCGAUUGGAGCGCUAACUUCCGCAGCUGGUGGAUCCAUGACGAGGACUUCUGUUCUGUUUGAUAAGCCGUGUUACUGCUGUGUGACAGGCACCGUUUGGAAACAAUUAAGGUCCACAAACCAAAUAGGCAGUGCUGGAACUCCAUCUCAAAACGUCUCCCUGGGAAAAGAAAUGAA
Molecule: long non-coding RNA, 773 nt
Organism: Entelurus aequoreus (snake pipefish)
Lineage: Eukaryota; Metazoa; Chordata; Actinopteri; Syngnathiformes; Syngnathidae
Exons: 3
Source: RefSeq, a predicted model, not a curated record